AAGUCGAGCGGGCGUAGCAAUACGUCAGCGGCAGACGGGUGAGUAACGCGUGGGAACGUACCUUUUGGUUCGGAACAACACAGGGAAACUUGUGCUAAUACCGGAUAAGCCCUUACGGGGAAAGAUUUAUCGCCGAAAGAUCGGCCCGCGUCUGAUUAGCUAGUUGGUGAGGUAAUGGCUCACCAAGGCGACGAUCAGUAGCUGGUCUGAGAGGAUGAUCAGCCACAUUGGGACUGAGACACGGCCCAAACUCCUACGGGAGGCAGCAGUGGGGAAUAUUGGACAAUGGGGGCAACCCUGAUCCAGCCAUGCCGCGUGAGUGAUGAAGGCCCUAGGGUUGUAAAGCUCUUUUGUGCGGGAAGAUAAUGACGGUACCGCAAGAAUAAGCCCCGGCUAACUUCGUGCCAGCAGCCGCGGUAAUACGAAGGGGGCUAGCGUUGCUCGGAAUCACUGGGCGUAAAGGGUGCGUAGGCGGGUCUUUAAGUCAGGGGUGAAAUCCUGGAGCUCAACUCCAGAACUGCCUUUGAUACUGAGGAUCUUGAGUUCGGGAGAGGUGAGUGGAACUGCGAGUGUAGAGGUGAAAUUCGUAGAUAUUCGCAAGAACACCAGUGGCGAAGGCGGCUCACUG
RNAcentral lists this ribosomal RNA (628 nucleotides) under Bradyrhizobium japonicum. RNAcentral describes it as "bacterial SSU rRNA". It matches the Rfam family "Bacterial small subunit ribosomal RNA", at positions 59 to 731 of the family's 1533-position model. The record is from RNAcentral. Lineage: Bacteria; Pseudomonadati; Pseudomonadota; Alphaproteobacteria; Hyphomicrobiales; Nitrobacteraceae.